Molecule: long non-coding RNA, 323 nt
Organism: Oncorhynchus tshawytscha (Chinook salmon)
Lineage: Eukaryota; Metazoa; Chordata; Actinopteri; Salmoniformes; Salmonidae
Source: Ensembl
GCCACAAAGUGUCGGGUAUGUGGUGGCUUGUUAUAAGGAACCAGAACACGGAUGUAUCAAGUCUCCCAGUUCCUGCCGCUGAAGAACAUCCCCACAGCAUGAUGCUGCCACCACGAUGCUUCACCAUAGGGAUGGUACGAGUUGGUGCACCUGUACUGGUUAACACUCGCAAGGCUGCAUCCCUAGCCGCUUCCAGAGAGCAUGCGCAGACCAGCUGGCUGGUGUGUUUACAGACGAUAUCAAUCUCUCCCUAUCCCAGUCUUGCUGUCCCCACAUGCUUCAAGAUGGCCACCAUUGUUUCUGUGCCCAAGAAUGCAAAGGUA